AGUGAACGCUGGCGGCAGGCCUAACACAUGCAAGUCGAGCGGCAGCGGGUCCCCGCGAGGGGAUGCCGGCGAGCGGCGGACGGGUGAGGAACACAUCGGAAUCUGCCUGGUUGUGGGGGAUAACGUAGGGAAACUUACGCUAAUACCGCAUGCGACCCUGAGUCGACGGACUGGGGGUGAAAGUGAGGGACCUUCGGGCCUCACGCGACCAGAUGAGCCGAUGUCGGAUUAGCUAGUUGGCGGGGUAACGGCCCGCCAAGGCGACGAUCCGUAGCUGGUCUGAGAGGAUGAUCAGCCACACUGGGACUGAGACACGGCCCAGACUCCUACGGGAGGCAGCAGU
This 343-nucleotide ribosomal RNA is filed under the name uncultured bacterium. RNAcentral's name for it is "bacterial SSU rRNA". It matches the Rfam family "Bacterial small subunit ribosomal RNA", at positions 30 to 355 of the family's 1533-position model. The record is from RNAcentral.